UGCACUAGUGGAGAGCGAAAACAAACAUAGUUGGCUAUGGUUCGUGUGUUGCCUGAAGAUGGGUGUCAUCAAAGAUCGGGAAGGGGUUUGCAUCAUCUCUGAUCGCAACACCGGACUAUUAAGCGCGCUUGAGAUAAUUAAGGCUUCACAAGAUCUAGAUGGGGGAUGGCCCGAUCUGGAGACAAGGUGGUGCAUGAGGCAUUUGGCAG
This 209-nucleotide long non-coding RNA is filed under the name Hordeum vulgare. RNAcentral describes it as "long non-coding RNA (HVUL_LNC009685)". The record is from RNAcentral. Lineage: Eukaryota; Viridiplantae; Streptophyta; Magnoliopsida; Poales; Poaceae.